UACGGAGGGUGCAAGCGUUAUUCGGAUUUAUUGGGCGUAAAGAGCGUGUAGGCGGUUUGGUAAGUCUGACGUGAGAUCCCUGGACUCAAUCCAGGAAGUGCGUUGGAUACUGCCAGACUAGAGUACAGGAGAGGAGAGCGGAAUUCCUGGUGUAGAGGUGAAAUUCGUAGAUAUCAGGAGGAACAACAGUGGCGAAGGCGGCUCUCUGGACUGUUACUGACGCUGAGACGCGAAAGCGUGGGGAGCAAACAGG
Molecule: ribosomal RNA, 253 nt
Filed under: uncultured bacterium
Lineage: Bacteria
Description: partial 16S ribosomal RNA
Rfam family: Bacterial small subunit ribosomal RNA
Source: RNAcentral